Molecule: long non-coding RNA, 659 nt
Filed under: Elaeis guineensis (African oil palm)
Lineage: Eukaryota; Viridiplantae; Streptophyta; Magnoliopsida; Arecales; Arecaceae
Description: long non-coding RNA (EGUI_LNC001773)
Source: RNAcentral
GGCAUCAGAGACCAUCGAUAUGAAACCCUGAUCAAAGAGUUCAAAUUUCAAAUUCAAAAUUUAAAAUUCAAAAUUUUAACCCCGGUACCCAAAAUGUGUGGAACUCAUGAUCAGAGAAUCCUAAUUCUCAAUCAUAGAGUUCUAGACACAUAAGACUCAUAAUCAGCCAUCAGAUCAGAAAGGAACCUCUAAUGUGUGUGAUCCUGCAGGUUCGAACCUAAGCCGGUAGCAUAGGAACCAAUUCCUGUACUAAUCGAAGUGAUCAUCUAGCAAUGGUACCCGAUGACCGGAUAGAUCGAAUAGUCGUAAUCGCAAUAUUCAGAACCUACGUGAAUAUGGUUACCGUAUAAUUCAUCCUUUUUGACCCCUGUAUUUAGGACGACUCAAGGUUAACUGUCAACCCUGAUGAGAUCAUCCGAAUCGUGCUCAACUCAAUUAGUCCUGUGACUCCUCACUAGGACUACCCUGGCCAAGAUUUUGCUAAAUUGAAACACGACUGUACACAGCUCCUAAACUGGAGUGGUCAAUCCCAUCUUGACACACGCACCGACAAGUCAAGUACUUGACUACACCCAGCAGCCUUCCGUCACUGAAUUAGAAAUUCAGGUAGUCCAGUACCUAAGUACAGUGAGUUGCUUGCAAGUCAUCGUGGCGGUCUC